GAUGAACGCUGGCGGCGUGCCUAAUACAUGCAAGUCGAGCGAACAGACGAGGAGCUUGCUCCUCUGACGUUAGCGGCGGACGGGUGAGUAACACGUGGAUAACCUACCUAUAAGACUGGGAUAACUUCGGGAAACCGGAGCUAAUACCGGAUAACAUGUUGAACCGCAUGGUUCAACAGUGAAAGACGGUCUUGCUGUCACUUAUAGAUGGAUCCGCGCCGCAUUAGCUAGUUGGUAAGGUAACGGCUUACCAAGGCAACGAUGCGUAGCCGACCUGAGAGGGUGAUCGGCCACACUGGAACUGAGACACGGUCCAGACUCCUACGGGAGGCAGCAGUAGGGAAUCUUCCGCAAUGGGCGAAAUCCUGACGGAGCAACGCCGCGUGAGUGAAGAAGGUCUUCGGAUCGUAAAACUCUGUUAUUAGGGAAGAACAAAUGUGUAAGUAACUAUGCACGUCUUGACGGUACCUAAUCAGAAAGCCACGGCUAACUACG
Molecule: ribosomal RNA, 495 nt
Filed under: uncultured bacterium
Lineage: Bacteria
Description: partial 16S ribosomal RNA
Rfam family: Bacterial small subunit ribosomal RNA
Source: RNAcentral